AAGGAAACCAUCAGCAGGAGAAGCUCGUGGAAGAGGAAAAAGAGGCAGAGGGAGUGGAAGAGGGAGAGCCACAAGCACAGACACAGGCAGAGCCAGAGGAAGAGGUAUGGCAGCGUAUUUUGAAUGUGGAAGUGGUUCAGGUUCAGGUGUUUGAUUGUUGAAAUUUGUUUCAUUGUGUUAUUCCGACUACUAGGACUACUGGAAUUACUAUAUGUUAUUUGGACUACCUAAAUUACUAGAAUUACUAUGUGUUAUUUGAACUACUAGGAAUACUAGGUUUACUAUGUGUUAUUUGAACUACCUGUAUUUCUGGAAUUAGUAUGUGUUAUUUGAACUACUAGGACUACUUUAGAUUACUAUGUGUUAUUUGGACUACAUAUAUAUUAGUAUGAGUAUUUAUGUUUAGUAUGUAGAAUCGACAU
This 422-nucleotide long non-coding RNA is filed under the name Brassica napus (rape). Its description in RNAcentral is "long non-coding RNA (BNAP_LNC019095)". Lineage: Eukaryota; Viridiplantae; Streptophyta; Magnoliopsida; Brassicales; Brassicaceae. The record is from RNAcentral.